RNAcentral lists this ribosomal RNA (253 nucleotides) under uncultured bacterium. RNAcentral's name for it is "partial 16S ribosomal RNA". It matches the Rfam family "Bacterial small subunit ribosomal RNA", at positions 524 to 776 of the family's 1533-position model. The record is from RNAcentral.
UACGAAGGGGGCUAGCGUUGCUCGGAAUCACUGGGCGUAAAGGGUGCGUAGGCGGGUCUUUAAGUCAGGGGUGAAAUCCUGGAGCUCAACUCCAGAACUGCCUUUGAUACUGAAGAUCUUGAGUUCGGGAGAGGUGAGUGGAACUGCGAGUGUAGAGGUGAAAUUCGUAGAUAUUCGGAAGAACGCCAGUGGCGAAGGCGGCUCACUGGUCCGGUACUGACGCUGAGGUGCGAAAGCGUGGGGAGCAAACAGG